GGGAGCGUCGGUUAACUGGUAAACCACUGGUCUCCAAAACCAGGACUGAAGGUUCGAGUCCUUCCGCUCCUGCCA
This 75-nucleotide transfer RNA is filed under the name Elusimicrobium minutum Pei191. RNAcentral's name for it is "tRNA-Trp (CCA) (tRNA-Trp-CCA-1-1)". It matches the Rfam family "tRNA". Rfam says of the family: Transfer RNA (tRNA) molecules are approximately 80 nucleotides in length. Their secondary structure includes four short double-helical elements and three loops (D, anti-codon, and T loops). Further hydrogen bonds mediate the characteristic L-shaped molecular structure. tRNAs have two regions of fundamental functional importance: the anti-codon, which is responsible for specific mRNA codon recognition, and the 3' end, to which the tRNAs corresponding amino acid is attached (by aminoacyl-tRNA synthetases). tRNAs cope with the degeneracy of the genetic code in two manners: having more than one tRNA (with a specific anti-codon) for a particular amino acid; and 'wobble' base-pairing, i.e. permitting non-standard base-pairing at the 3rd anti-codon position. The record is from RNAcentral. Lineage: Bacteria; Pseudomonadati; Elusimicrobiota; Elusimicrobia; Elusimicrobiales; Elusimicrobiaceae. RNAcentral also lists the same sequence under 1 other name.